CAGCUAGUUGGCGGGGUAAUGGCCCACCAAGGCGACGACGGGUAGCUGGUCUGAGAGGAUGGCCAGCCACAUUGGGACUGAGAGACGGCCCAGACUCCUACGGGAGGCAGCAGUGGGGAAUCUUGCGCAAUGGCCGAAAGGCUGACGCAGCGACGCCGCGUGUGGGAUGAAGCAUUUCGGUGUGUAAACCACUGUUGCCCGGGACGAACAGCCUGUUUCGACAGGUCUGACGGUACCGGGUGAGGAAGCACCGGCUAACUCCGUGCCAGCAGCCGCGGUAAUACGGAGGGUGCGAGCGUUGUCCGGAAUCAUUGGGCGUAAAGGGCGCGUAGGUGGCCCGCUCAGCGUGCGGUGAAAGCUCGGGGCUCAACCCCGAGUCGGCCGUGCGAACUGGUGGGCUGGAGCACUGUAGAGGCAGGCGGAAUUCCGGGUGUAGCGGUGGAAUGCGUAGAGAUCCGGAAGAACACCGGUGGCGAAGGCGGCCUGCUGGGCAGUUGCUGACACUGAGGCGCGACAGCGUGGGGAGCAAACAGGAUUAGAUACCCUGGUAGUCCACGCCGU
Molecule: ribosomal RNA, 561 nt
Filed under: uncultured Gemmatimonadota bacterium
Lineage: Bacteria; Pseudomonadati; Gemmatimonadota
Description: SSU rRNA
Rfam family: Bacterial small subunit ribosomal RNA
Source: RNAcentral